This 650-nucleotide long non-coding RNA is filed under the name Triticum aestivum (bread wheat). Its description in RNAcentral is "long non-coding RNA (TAES_LNC019807)". Lineage: Eukaryota; Viridiplantae; Streptophyta; Magnoliopsida; Poales; Poaceae. The record is from RNAcentral.
UGAUGAAACCGCGAGUAGUGGAACCGCAAGCGUUAUUUACCUUUUCAUUCUUGUGUCGUUAGUUUGCUCCUAUGUUGAGUCUGGUGGUUUACUGUCAGACAUUGGUUGAUAUAGUACUAUUGCUUGGUUGAGUGACCUGUCAAGUGCAGGAUUCUAUUAGAGGCGUGUAAGCUGCUAUUUGUGCUCAAUAUUUAUCUGCAGGAUUCUCGUAUUAUCUGCCAAGUUUACAGUGUUCUGCUUUUGUUGGUUUGAUCUUAUAUGGUUUCGUUUUCUCAUUUAGAAUAUAACAUCUAUCUGUUGUCGACCAUAUAGUAAGCCAUUUAACUACACGUAAUCAGUAUAUAUCAUCACUUGCCAGUUGAUGUUUUCUUUCCAGGAAAUCACAAGAUGAAACGAAACAAUCACACUACGCGGCAGCAUAGAGGGCAAAAGCGCAGGGCGAAGUUUUUGGUUGUCUGUUCGCUGGCUAUAGUUAAGUGUGUGUGUGUCGAUAGAAAUAUUGCUUGGUUGAGUGACCUGUCUGGUGCAGCAUCACAUUCGUUUUGGUCCAUGGGACGUGUAAAACUGCCAUUUCUUUUACAGUAUUGGUCGUUGUUUAGUCACUUAUUUUCUAAGUAUUAUAUCCUGUCAUCUGUUUUACUGUAAUUUCC